GCCCCCCGAAUUGUAGUCUAGAAAAGCACCAUCGGCCGCGUCCGGCGCUCAAAUCCCUUGGAAUAGGGUAUCGGAGAAGGUGAGAAUCCUGUGCCGUGUCGGCACGCGGCCGCACGAUGUGCUCUUGUCGAGUCGGGUUGCUUGGGAUUGCAGCUUGAAGUGGGUGGUAAAUUCCAUCUAAAGCUAAAUAUUGGCUCAUGACCGAUAGCGAACAAGUACCGUGAGGGAAAGAUGCAAAGAACUUUGAAAAGAGAGUUAAAGAGUGCUUGAAAUCGGCAAGAGGAAACCCGUUUGCGCCCGGCUUCGUGCCGUCGACUCAGCCGUGCGCGUGCUUUCUCGGGACCGCAAGGCCCGUUGGCUGUAGCGCGCGGUGCACUUUGUCGGCACGGGUCAUCCGCCACCGUGGACUCGUCACAUUUCUCGGGGAGGGGCUUCGGCGAUCCCUGGGCAGCGGCGAGUCCUAGGUGCCGGCUGACGGAACGGGCGCAACCGACCCGUCUAGAAACACGGACCAAGGAGUCUGACAGGGUUGCGAGUUCCCGGGUGGAAAGCCCGCGAGCGCAAUGAAAGUGAAGGGCGUGCCCCGCCAACCGACCUUGAUCUACUGUGAAGGGUUUGAGUGGAGCAUCUCUGUCGGGACCCGAAAGAUGGUGAACUAUGCCUGAGGAGGGUGAAGCCUGAGGAAACUCAGGUGGAGGCUCGUAGCGAUACUGACGUGCAAAUCGUUCGUCGAACUUGGGUAUAGGGGCGAAAGACUAAUCGAACCAUCUAGUAGCUGGUUCCCUCCGAAGUUUCCCUCAGGAUAGCUUGAACGCCACGGUUUUGU
This 826-nucleotide ribosomal RNA is filed under the name Haptophyta environmental samples. Its description in RNAcentral is "eukaryotic LSU rRNA". It matches the Rfam family "Eukaryotic large subunit ribosomal RNA", at positions 133 to 1004 of the family's 3401-position model. The record is from RNAcentral. Lineage: Eukaryota; Haptophyta.